UAGUUUCUCCAGGAGUUGUCAUACAGGGAUCAUCAGAGCUGCUUCCUGGAAACUGCUGGUCCUUUGCUGGUCAGCAAGGACACAUUACUAUUAACCUGUCUCACAAAGUUCCCAUCAGCCAUGUGACUCUGGGUCACAUAUUGAAGUCGGUGUCUCCAUCUGGCACCACACCAAGUGCACCUAAGGAGUUUUCUGUCUAUGGAAAGAAAACAGUAGAAGAUGAGGGAACUCUUCUUGGAACCUUUACAUAUGAUAAUGAUGGAGACCAGUUCCAAACUUUUAAAA
Long non-coding RNA from Melanotaenia boesemani (Boeseman's rainbowfish), 285 nucleotides. RefSeq lists it as uncharacterized. The transcript has 3 exons. The record is from RefSeq and is a predicted model, not a curated record. NCBI's taxonomy places the organism in Eukaryota, Metazoa, Chordata, Actinopteri, Atheriniformes, Melanotaeniidae.